GCCCCGGUAGUAUAGCCCGGUUCAGUAUGCGGGCCUGUCGUCCAUGGUCUCAGCCAUAAAAAUUGGGCAGAAAGCCCGUGACCCGGGUUCAAAUCCCGGCCGGGGCG
Molecule: non-coding RNA, 107 nt
Organism: Vulcanisaeta sp. JCHS_4
Lineage: Archaea; Thermoproteati; Thermoproteota; Thermoprotei; Thermoproteales; Thermoproteaceae
Source: Rfam